RNAcentral lists this ribosomal RNA (423 nucleotides) under uncultured bacterium. Its description in RNAcentral is "bacterial SSU rRNA". It matches the Rfam family "Bacterial small subunit ribosomal RNA", at positions 355 to 776 of the family's 1533-position model. The record is from RNAcentral.
UGAGGAAUAUUGGUCAAUGGUCGGGAGACUGAACCAGCCAAGCCGCGUGAGGGAGGAAGGUACAGAGUAUCGUAAACCUCUUUUGUCAGGGAACAAAGACUGGGACGCGUCCCCGGAUGAGUGUACCUGAAGAAAAAGCAUCGGCUAACUCCGUGCCAGCAGCCGCGGUAAUACGGAGGAUGCGAGCGUUAUCCGGAUUUAUUGGGUUUAAAGGGUGCGCAGGCGGUCUGUUAAGUCAGCGGUCAAAGCCCGGGGCUCAACCCCGGCCCGCCGUUGAAACUGGCAGUCUCGAGUUGGAGAGAAGUAUGCGGAAUGCGCGGUGUAGCGGUGAAAUGCAUAGAUAUCGCGCAGAACUCCGAUUGCGAAGGCAGCAUGCCGGCUCCACACUGACGCUGAGGCACGAAAGCGUGGGUAUCGAACAGG